AGUCACUGACAUUAGAUACCCCGGUAGUCCCAGCCGUAAACUAUGCUCGCUAGGUGUCAGGGACGGUGCGACCGUUUCUGGUGCCGCAGGGAAGCCGUGAAGCGAGCCACCUGGGAAGUACGGUCGCAAGGCUGAAACUUAAAGGAAUUGGCGGGGGAGCACAACAACGGGUGGAGCUUGCGGUUUAAUUGGAUUCAACGCCGGAAAUCUUACCGGGACCGACAGCAACAUGAAGGCCAAGCUGAAGACUUUGCCGGAUUAGCUG
This 265-nucleotide ribosomal RNA is filed under the name uncultured archaeon. Its description in RNAcentral is "partial 16S ribosomal RNA". It matches the Rfam family "Archaeal small subunit ribosomal RNA", at positions 718 to 982 of the family's 1478-position model. The record is from RNAcentral.